This 73-nucleotide transfer RNA is filed under the name Stegodyphus mimosarum. It matches the Rfam family "tRNA". Rfam says of the family: Transfer RNA (tRNA) molecules are approximately 80 nucleotides in length. Their secondary structure includes four short double-helical elements and three loops (D, anti-codon, and T loops). The record is from Rfam by way of RNAcentral. Lineage: Eukaryota; Metazoa; Arthropoda; Arachnida; Araneae; Eresidae.
GCCUUCGUGGUGUAGUGGUCAGUACGCUCGACGCGUAACCGAGAGGUCCGUGGUUCGAUUCUCGGCGAAGGCG